UUUUCCUACAGUCCACACGUCAACGUUGCUGGCUGUCGGAUGCCUGCAGCCAAGAUGAGACACUUUAGCUGUUUUCUAAGGACAGUUAUACUCAGCCAGCACUAGCAUGUGAUGAUUGCAGUGUUUGGCUUCUCAGUCCCCGUGGCUGAAUCACUUGCUCAGUUGUUGGAUGGAUAACACUAUUGACACCUUGACAGAUGCUUACGGGUGUCCCUUGACAAAGGCCACAGUCAGAUGAGAAAAGAACAAUUUUGUGCUAUGUAAAAGCUCCUGUAUUGUCCAAGAAUCAUGGUCAGCUGAUUCCACAGGAACCUUCUGUGAUGGCCUGCUGUGAGAGAAAGCAUACAGGUGUGAAUGUGGUUUACAUUGCAAAAUGGAGAAAAUUAAAAAAUGGAAAUGGGGAAACAGCCUGUGGAGCAGAUAGUCUUCCUGUGUCUGAGGUUCUUCAGACUGGAAUUAAACUCCUGGAUUGAAAAUGUAUGCCAGCUUUCUAAAGAGAUCCAGAACAGGGAAGAAGAGAAAACCAAGUUUAAGUGCUUGAUCCCAGCUGACUGGCAUCUAGCAAAUGUGAUGCCCAACCAGAAGGGUCAGAAGGAUGAUCUGGAGAACUACAGGCUGGUGAGUCUGACCUCAGUGCCUGGGAAGGUGAUGGAACAGAUCAUCCUGAGUGCCAUUAUGUGGUGCAUGAAGGAUGCCCAGAUGAUCAGGCCCAACCAGCACGAGUUCAUGAAAGGUAGGUUCUGCUUGACAAACCUGAUCUCCUAUGUCAAACUGACCCACUUGGUGGAUGAAGGAAAGGCUGUGGAUGAUGUUUACAUGGAUUUUAGUAAAAUCUUUGAUACAGUCUCCCACAGGAUCCUCUUGGAAAAACUGUCUUCCGAUGGCUUGGACGGGAGUACUUUCCACUGGGUUAAAAACUGGUUGGAGGGCCGGCCUGGAGAGUGGUGGGGAAUGGAGUUAAAUCCAGUUGGCAGCUGGUCAUGAAUGGUAUCCCACAGGGCUCGGUGUUGGUCGACUCCUUGGCUGAACAUGAGCCAGCGGUGUGCCCAGGUGGCCAAGAAGGCCAACAGCAUCCUGGCCUGUAUCAGGAACAGUGUGGUGAGUAGGAUCCGAGAGGUGAUCGUCCCCCUGUACUUGGCACUGGUGAGGCCCCACCUUGAGUACUGUGUCCAGUUUUGGGCCCCUUA
Molecule: long non-coding RNA, 1187 nt
Filed under: Calidris pugnax (ruff)
Lineage: Eukaryota; Metazoa; Chordata; Aves; Charadriiformes; Scolopacidae
Description: lncRNA (ENSCPUG00000015751.1)
Source: RNAcentral